This is a non-coding RNA of Rattus norvegicus (Norway rat), 4150 nucleotides long. Lineage: Eukaryota; Metazoa; Chordata; Mammalia; Rodentia; Muridae. The record is from RefSeq and is a predicted model, not a curated record.
AGUUAGGCACAGUGGAAAGGACUAACUGAAGAACUAAUUUGCAUUGUGAAGAUGUAUCCUGGGCAGGGACAGCGCUGUGACUGUAAGUUCAAAGCCAAAACAGCUUAAUGAGUCAGCAGGUGUGAAGCUACAGUUCAAAUACCAAGAAGUUUAAAAAAUGUGGUGAAGAAGACGAUAAACCUUGACAGUCCUUUCUGGUGAUCAGUCUGCCUAAUGCUUCAGAAAAGCUGGAGAGAUGGGCUCAGAGUAAGGCAGCCUCACUGAUAGGAUAGCGGUAACAUAAGCCUCAAUAGAUAUGACCAGCGUCAUGGGGAAACCAAAUGCAAUCUUUCUUGAGAUAUUAUAAUGUGGCAGCAACUUCCUUAAGUCUUUAUAUAGCUGUUCCUUGGUCACUUGGCAUGCUUAAAUAAACGUACAACUUCAGAGAUUCUUCAAGUUUUAAAGGAUGUCUAGAAAGCAGCAACAUCAGAGUGGGAGGAGAAAAGAAGUGAAAUUAUUAAUACAAUAAACAGGCAAUAAAAAAGUAAUCAAAAAGGGCUGUGACUUUAAAAGAGAGCGAGUAGGUGUACAUGAGACUGUUUAGCGGGAAUAAUGAGAUGGUAAAAUGAUGUAAUUAUAAUUUCAAAAAUGAAAAAGCAGUAAUAAUUUUUUUAAAAAGAAAAACCAUGUUUUUUCCAGUUACUGGCAGAGUGUACCUUUCUGUCAAAACUGUGAGGGGAUAUCAUGACUACCAAUUUGACCUCAAACAGGAUUCUAGAAGGAAUAUAGGUCCACUGGUCCACAGCUAAGAAGUAUCUUCAUUUCUCUUACCAUAUUCAGACUCUAAAAUGUAUCUCAUAAGUAGUUUUAUCUCAAGUCAUGUAACACUAAAUACACACACACAUGAGCAUAUGCACACACAUUAAUAUUGUAAGAUGCGUUCAUUCGUUCAUUGCAUACAUUACAUGUAUUCGGAACGGAGUAAUAAAAGGGGCGAAAUUACAAUCAAAGGCCACUAGGUGGCGAGUGUGCUAUGUCAUGUCCACUCACCUAAUGGAGGUGCUGCUGGUAUUAUCCUGUGUAUCAAGGGAUCAUCAUAUCAGAUGGUUCUGCUGCCAAACAGAUGUCUGAAAUCGAUUUUGGAAGCCAGAUAAGAGUCUACAAUUAUCAUAGAGCACCUCUUUUGUGAGUUAGAUGCCUUUCCCAAACAAUAUUUAGUAUGGAGUGCCUCUUCUUUUAGAGCACGACGUGUUUUUAAACCACUGGUCACCACUCCAUGGCUUUUCUUCUGAAUUCUAUUCCAAUGACUCCCCCCAGCACCGUACAGUUCGUAGCUACCAGCUCUGUCUUGGCCUUCAAUUUGCUUCCUGUAAUGUCCUACAUACUAGGGGCAGUUAAUCAAGCAAACAGACCUGAGAUCUUUUCCUUUUGGAACCUGACAUCUCUCAUUAAGGUACCUUUGUAUGAAGUAGCACAUUUUAAACACUACACACAUAGGCUCAACACUUGAAGGCUUGAAAGGCAGAUGUCUGGUAUGGGUGUACGGAAAGCCAAAGGUUCAGUAUAGUGAACCUUUCUGCUUCAGAAACCUCACUUAGGCACUUUUCCGGAAGAGGGGGUAGUUUUCAUUAAUUUGUGAAUGAAGUUUAAAAGUAACUUUUGCAUCUCUUAACUAGUUUUCAUUAUUUCACUCAGCAAACAGGAAUUGUGUCCUUUCCAGUGUAGAUAUUGUGUGCCAACCAUUGACUACACAAUUCUUUUAUUUAUAUAUAAUACUUCACACAUUUCUGAAGAGAAAAGGCUGUGAUGGUCUGACUCCAUUGAGUUCUAAUUCAUUCAGAGAAGUUAAUAUCUCUCUCCUUAAUAUCUCUCUCCUUAUUUUGAGAUACAUAAUGCAGGAAGCAUCUGCUCUAUUUUUACCUACCAUUUAAUUUAUUACUUCAAAAUAAUAAAUAUUUAUUUCCUUAUUUCUUUUUCAAGGACAAACAUUUUUGUAUUUUAUUAUUUUUUAGGGAAGACACACAGUUUCACAAGAAGCAAUGAUUUUUCUCAAAUAAUAGGAAAAAAAGGUCCUUUUGAAAAAUAAUCUCCAGGAUCACUUCUAUAGUUUGUCAUUAUAUUUUAAUAUUACAGUUUUCUUUCGAAUGUGAUACAAAUGAUAGUAUGAAUCUUACAUUGCAUUGAGAUUUUUUUCAUGAACACCAUGAUUUCUGAUAGAUUUUAAUUUGUGUCAAACAUUGUAGAAAAGUCAAAGCCCCUCCUCCCCCCAAAAUAUGCACAACCUCAAGCCUACUAUGAAGUUUAGAUUGUUUUCACCUGAACAUCAUGAACAAUUAGUGGACAAUUACAAGCAAGCUGAGUAGCAAGUAGGUUGCAGUAAAAUGACAAGUCCUACUUCUUAUUGCUCUGAUUGACCUGCUUCUUUUUCUUUGACGAUGUCUUUUCUCAUUACCAGGGACCUUGAUCCUUUUCUACUGGGAAGUCAUCCAAUAACCCACGUUAUCUUGUUAGUGAUUCACAGGCUCCUGCUCUUCUUUACUUAGGAGUAAAGGAAUACCUUGAAGGCAUUUUCAAUAGUAGUAUCAAUGGCAGUCAUCAGAGUCCCUUUCACACCACAGCACCAACAGUGUUCUCCAGGUCACUCAGCCAAGACAGGAUUCUUCCCUGUAACGGGAAGCCUCGGCCAGUAGUGAAGAGACCCAGGCAUUUACAAUCUGUUGCUAGCAAGAACUCAAACACUUAACUGUGCAAAGCCUAAAGUGGAUUGCAGAAACAUAGUGGCUUUCUACUAAGUUUUUACUCUCUCGGAAUCUCUGGGUCAUAGGUCAUGGAAAGGUUGGUGGUGCUGCAUAAUGGUGAGAGAUCCAGGGGGACAGUGAAGCUGACAGGUGCCAUACUUUCCUGCUGUCCAGGAAGUGGUGACUCACCCUUGCACCAGUAGUUUUCACUGCUAUGAUGUUUAAUGGGUGACUCAGACUCUAAAGGCAGAAUAUUCACCUCAUUAUAAAUUCUGUUUAACAUAUUUCCUUAAGAAAAUUAAUUCAAAAUAUUUAAAAACUGCGUUCCUUUAAUUAUCCAUGAUGUGUGAACAUAGUCUCUGUGAUUUUUUUUUAAAGGAAAGCAGAAGCUUGUCUUGAAGCAAUAUCAAGAAAUUCUUCUGAUAUCAUUUACACAAUACAGUUCCUAGUGUUUUCCCAGCUCAGUCACUAAAAGUAUGCGAUGUAAUGUGAUGUUUAUUGAUACAUUUGGAAAAAGUACGCUGUAGAGCAAUGUAACCUUAGAUAAAUAACAAGAAAAGAACAUUAUCACACGAUGCACGGUGACUCCUUUCAGACUUCUUAAAAGGAGAAAUCACAGGAAUAUCAGCCAAAAUGGCAUAUCAAGUUGCAAUAAAAUCAGGCUCCUCCCCUCAUAUUAUGGCUGGACAAAGUUUCCUAGUGGAAGGCCAAAAGUCCCAAAAGCAGAAAAGAAAAAAAUCUGAAACAGGCCCUCCAUUCUCUGUUAGGAGGACUAUAAGAAUACCAAGCUACACAACUGUAUACAGAGGGCCGAGAUUAUUUUUGCUUCAGUCUCACUGAUUCCCUAUGAGUCCAGGUUGGUUGAUUCGGUGGGUUUUAUGGUGAUGCCCUUGAUGCCUCUGGCUCCUCCAACCAUUCCUCCUCCUAUUCCCCAUGAUUCCCUGUACUCUGCCUAAUAUUUAAUUAUGGGCCUCUGCAUCUAUUUACAAGAAGUGUGUGGAUCAGCGCACCAUUAGCUCACCAGGGAUCAGCCUGGAGAUGUACUGUUUUGUCCACAGGAAGAAUGGGAAAGCCAGAGCAAGAGUCGUGAAGGAGAAACAAGAAGCUUUUCAAGGUCUCCCUUUCAGUCCCCAGCUGGUGCUUCCUCCUUCUUUUGGCUCCCACCCACUUGUCACACAUCCUGGUAGCCCAAUCUUAUAAUUUUCAUUCAGUUAAUAUAAAUUGUGCUUCAGUUUGGGGUAAUUUAAGUGAUUUCUCAGACCCUUAAAAAAUGUAUUUUUAAGUAUGUACUGUAACAUUAAGAACACAUAAUAUUUUUUAAAAAUUGCAAAAGCAUAUGUAAGUAUUCUCAUGAGUGACCAUGAUUCUGAUGCCACUGGACUGUUGAACUGAAAAUAAACAUCCAAUAAACACCAUAAUGCUAUAGAGAUAAA